This 1085-nucleotide non-coding RNA is filed under the name Limosilactobacillus panis DSM 6035. Its description in RNAcentral is "Lactobacillus panis DSM 6035 Bacterial small subunit ribosomal RNA". It matches the Rfam family "Bacterial small subunit ribosomal RNA", at positions 444 to 1533 of the family's 1533-position model. The record is from Rfam by way of RNAcentral. Lineage: Bacteria; Bacillati; Bacillota; Bacilli; Lactobacillales; Lactobacillaceae.
UGAGAGUAACUGUUCAUGCAGUGACGGUAUUCAACCAGAAAGUCACGGCUAACUACGUGCCAGCAGCCGCGGUAAUACGUAGGUGGCAAGCGUUAUCCGGAUUUAUUGGGCGUAAAGCGAGCGCAGGCGGUUGCUUAGGUCUGAUGUGAAAGCCUUCGGCUUAACCGAAGAAGUGCAUCGGAAACCGGGCGACUUGAGUGCAGAAGAGGACAGUGGAACUCCAUGUGUAGCGGUGGAAUGCGUAGAUAUAUGGAAGAACACCAGUGGCGAAGGCGGCUGUCUGGUCUGCAACUGACGCUGAGGCUCGAAAGCAUGGGUAGCGAACAGGAUUAGAUACCCUGGUAGUCCAUGCCGUAAACGAUGAGUGCUAGGUGUUGGAGGGUUUCCGCCCUUCAGUGCCGCAGCUAACGCAUUAAGCACUCCGCCUGGGGAGUACGACCGCAAGGUUGAAACUCAAAGGAAUUGACGGGGGCCCGCACAAGCGGUGGAGCAUGUGGUUUAAUUCGAAGCUACGCGAAGAACCUUACCAGGUCUUGACAUCUUGCGCUAACCUAAGAGAUUAGGCGUUCCCUUCGGGGACGCAAUGACAGGUGGUGCAUGGUCGUCGUCAGCUCGUGUCGUGAGAUGUUGGGUUAAGUCCCGCAACGAGCGCAACCCUUGUUACUAGUUGCCAGCAUUCAGUUGGGCACUCUAGUGAGACUGCCGGUGACAAACCGGAGGAAGGUGGGGACGACGUCAGAUCAUCAUGCCCCUUAUGACCUGGGCUACACACGUGCUACAAUGGCCGGUACAACGAGCAGCUAACCCGCGAGGGUGUGCAAAUCUCUUAAAGCCGGUCUCAGUUCGGACUGCAGUCUGCAACUCGACUGCACGAAGUCGGAAUCGCUAGUAAUCGCGGAUCAGCAUGCCGCGGUGAAUACGUUCCCGGGCCUUGUACACACCGCCCGUCACACCAUGGAAGUUUGCAAUGCCCAAAGUCAGUGGCCUAACCAUUUUGGAGGGAGCUGCCUAAGGCAGGGCAGAUGACUGGGGUGAAGUCGUAACAAGGUAGCCGUAGGAGAACCUGCGGCUGGAUCACCUCCUUU